AGGAAGAAAGGGGAUUAGAGAUAUGCAAAAUUCUGCAAUUUUCAUUAAUCAUCAAAAGUCCUUCUCAAAAUAACAAAAGAACAUAUAAAUAGUAAACCCUAAAAGUAAACCCUAAAACAUCCUGCUAUUUGGGCUCGGCCCAUCAAAUCGAAUUGUUUAACAUAAAUAACAAUGAGCAGGCCCAGGUGGGCUAAAUAAAAUAAAUAACAAUAAGCAGACCCAAACGGGAUAAAUAAAAUAACAAUGAAAUAGGCCCACAUGGGCUUAGUCCCCCAACCAAAGCGUGACAGGCUGGGCCAUCCUGCGCCGUCUCCGUCCAUAUACUCGUGUAAUCUGUGGUGUGGGCCUGGUGUCCCCACCAA
Molecule: long non-coding RNA, 362 nt
Filed under: Populus tremula
Lineage: Eukaryota; Viridiplantae; Streptophyta; Magnoliopsida; Malpighiales; Salicaceae
Description: long non-coding RNA (PTRE_LNC001735)
Source: RNAcentral